Molecule: ribosomal RNA, 224 nt
Filed under: uncultured bacterium
Lineage: Bacteria
Description: partial 16S ribosomal RNA
Rfam family: Bacterial small subunit ribosomal RNA
Source: RNAcentral
GGUUUAAUUCGAUGAUACGCGAGGAACCUUACCAGGGCUCGAACGCACGACGACAGGGGCGGAAACGUCCUCUUCUUCGGACGGCGUGCGAGGUGCUGCAUGGCUGUCGUCAGCUCGUGCCGUGAGGUGUCGGGUUAAGUCCCAUAACGAGCGCAACCCCCAUCUCUAGUUGCCAGCGGGUAAUGCCGGGGACUCGUAGAGAAACUGCCCGUGUAAACGGUGAA